This 440-nucleotide ribosomal RNA is filed under the name uncultured bacterium. Its description in RNAcentral is "partial 16S ribosomal RNA". It matches the Rfam family "Bacterial small subunit ribosomal RNA", at positions 338 to 795 of the family's 1533-position model. The record is from RNAcentral.
CCUACGGGAGGCAGCAGUAGGGAAUAUUGCACAAUGGGGGAAACCCUGAUGCAGCAACGCCGCGUGAGGGAAGAAGUAUUUCGGAUUGUAAACCUCUUUUAUCAGGGAAGAAUAUGACAGUACCUGACUAAUAAGCACCGGCUAACUCCGUGCCAGCAGCCGCGGUAAUACGUAGGGUGCAAGCGUUAUCCGGAUUUACUGGGUGUAAAGGGAGCGUAGACGGCUGCGCAAGUCAGAUGUGAAAGCCCGUGGCUCAACCACGGGACUGCUUUUGAAACUGUGUCGCUGGAGUGUAGGAGAGGUAAGUGGAAUUCUUGGUGUAGCGGUGAAAUGCGUAGAGAUCAGGAGGAACACUCGUGGCGAAGGCGGCUUACUGGACUGUAACUGACGUUGAGGCACGAAAGCGUGGGGAGCAAACAGGAUUAGAUACCCUGGUAGUC